RNAcentral lists this microRNA (22 nucleotides) under Echinops telfairi (small Madagascar hedgehog). Its description in RNAcentral is "Ete-Mir-146-P1_3p* (star (passenger))". Lineage: Eukaryota; Metazoa; Chordata; Mammalia; Afrosoricida; Tenrecidae. The record is from RNAcentral.
GCCCUAGGAGCUCAGUUCUGGU